This 70-nucleotide transfer RNA is filed under the name Apaloderma vittatum (bar-tailed trogon). It matches the Rfam family "tRNA". Rfam says of the family: Transfer RNA (tRNA) molecules are approximately 80 nucleotides in length. Their secondary structure includes four short double-helical elements and three loops (D, anti-codon, and T loops). Further hydrogen bonds mediate the characteristic L-shaped molecular structure. tRNAs have two regions of fundamental functional importance: the anti-codon, which is responsible for specific mRNA codon recognition, and the 3' end, to which the tRNAs corresponding amino acid is attached (by aminoacyl-tRNA synthetases). tRNAs cope with the degeneracy of the genetic code in two manners: having more than one tRNA (with a specific anti-codon) for a particular amino acid; and 'wobble' base-pairing, i.e. permitting non-standard base-pairing at the 3rd anti-codon position. Lineage: Eukaryota; Metazoa; Chordata; Aves; Trogoniformes; Trogonidae. The record is from Rfam by way of RNAcentral.
GGCCGGUUAGCUCAGUCAGAGCAUGGUGCUGAUAACACCAAGGUCGUGGGCUCGAUCCCCAUUCAGUCCC